GUUCAUAUCAGGUGCCGCGCAGAGCCCCGUAAUAGUAUGCCUAUCAUUCCUGCGAAAAAUGAACUGGCCUCUGUUUACGAGAGCAUUCGAAUUACUUUGUCUAAAAUACAAGAAGAUUCUGCAAAGAGGAGUAGCCAAGAGCAGCAGCUGAUCUCAUCAGUGGCGAGCGCUAAGUGCCUAGCUGGCAUUUUCUCAGCGCAUCCUCCAACCAACAAUGAAGUAGUGCGGGCUCUCAAAAGUGCCGGUGAAGAAGAGCAGGUGGAAGCAGAGUGUCUGCAGCGCUACCGGCGGUUUGUAGAAGCGAAAAAGCGCUGCUUUACUUCUGUGGAGGCUGACCUGCGGUCUGUAUCCAAGGUGCUCUCCGGUGUUUUGGCAGCCAACGAAAAAGUGGAGGAGCCCACUAGUGGUGAUUACCGUCCUGAGGUGCAGGAAAAUCAAUGCGAUGCUGAGUUGCUGCACUUGUUUCGUCUGUGGCGCACGGUCGUGUGCUUGCACGAUUUAGUGCUAGGCUCGUUAAUCAAAAGGGGUUUUGAUGAUCCUCCAUGCGAACUUCAGCUUUUCAGUGCCGAUGAAGAGAGAUCUUAUGCUCGUGAAUCAGCGUUGAGGAAUACUGUCGCCGAUACAGAAAAAAUGCUUCUUGCGAUCCGGAAGCGCUGGAGAGCCCUAACUGCGGAAGCGGAGGCAGUGCGUGCCAAAGCGGAAAGCAUGACACCUCUGCCAUUUUCGGAUGAAGCCACUGCUCUGAUUGCGAAUGAAAAAGACGAGCCUCUUGUCGCGAGCAUAAGUCAAGGACUUCAUGAGCUGCAGCAAUCCAGCGAUCGUCUGAGAAAGAAAAAGGUUGCCGUUGAUGAAGGCGCUGCAGCUCUGAUAGAAAAGGUGAGAAGCCUAAGCUCGCAAACAGCAGCCUGCCGCUGCUCUGUGGAGGCAUUUUCACAGCGCUCUAGAGAAGCUGCGGAUGAUGCUAACAGUUUGAUGAGUGCGAAAGCGAGAGCUCUCCAGGAACUGCAUCGAAAAGCACAAGAAUGCGCAUCGGAGCAGGGACUUCUUGACAGAGAUGUCGGCAGCUACAGGCAGCUGUGUGCACUUCUUGUGGAGUGGGCAGAAAAAGAAAAUUCGGAUGCGGAGCGUAUUGUAGCAGCUGAGAAAGCGUAUCAUUCUUUGCUUUCCAAAGAAAGAACGCAACAAGAGAAACUCACUUGUCUGCGGUUGGCAAUAAAAAACCUUGAGAGUCAAGUGCGUGAUGCUUCAAUAGAAAAACAACGCAUUGUAGGCGAAGUGCAAUACUUGUCGAAGCUGGUUUCCAAUCCCACUGUGGUGAAGCAGGUGCUGGCCAGGGCAAUCGAGGAGUUCCAUCCUGAGCGUGAAGUGACCGCAGUUCAUAACUAUCUGAGAUUUGUACAAAAGGCUCGUCUGAAAAGACAUACUUCCCACGAGUAAUAUCGGGUAUUUAGACUUCUUCGAAUUCGCUUGUCGCAUCUACCAAGCAAUACGACUGUGACCUUACCUCUUCACUUGCCAUGUUUGGUUUUCUCUUUAGCUUGUACGCGGUAAAUUCCCUAUCUUGAAGCACUCAGGCUCAGUGUGCAGAAUCCCCCCAAAACAAAACCAAAUG
RNAcentral lists this unclassified non-coding RNA (1612 nucleotides) under Leishmania donovani. RNAcentral's name for it is "gene:LdHU3.23.1830(CDS-product:hypothetical_prote in_conserved)". The record is from RNAcentral. Lineage: Eukaryota; Euglenozoa; Kinetoplastea; Trypanosomatida; Trypanosomatidae.